GGCCGCUCUCGUGGCAUUUGGAGGUUCCCAGGCUAGGGGUAGAAUCAGAGCUGUAGCUGGCCUACACCACAGCCACAGCAACGCGGGAUCCAAGCCACGUCUGCAACCUACACCACAGCUCAUGGCAACACCGGAUCCUCAACCCACUGAGUAAGGCCAAGGAUCGAACCUGCAACCUCAUGGUUCCUAGUCAGAUUCGUUAACCACUGCGCCACAACGGGAACUCCCUACACAAUGAAUUUUAUUACAUUUAUAGUUGUAUGGUGAUCAUCAUAAAGGUUUUGUUCUUGUGGCAGAUUUUGUUCUCAAAAUCUAUCUUUCAACUCAAUGUUGCCAUGCUAGUAUCUCACACACAGGAAAACGAAGAGAUGGAGUGCUCUGGGGGCUAUUUCAAUCAAUAGAGCGCAGCAAAAGUGCUUCUGGGGCUGUCAUGAAAAGUGACCCAGCUUCUGCUUUGCUCUCUGGAAUACUUGUUCUAGAAGCCUUUAGUCUGACUGUCUCGAGACCACCAUGCUGUGCGGAAGCCCAAACUAGCCCAGGCAGAGAGGCCACCUGGAAAGAACCUGAGACUUCAUGGAAAGAGAUGUACACUGCCCCAGAUGCUCUUCCAGCCCCGGCCCCCACCUGACCACAGCUGUGCAAGAGACUCCUGGCCAGAACUGCCCAGCCAAGCCCUCCUGAGUUCCUGACCCACAGAAACGGAGAGAAAAAACUGUUUUAAGCCAUCAGGUUUGGGAAUGCCUUACAAGGCAGCAAUACAGGAGUAAUUUUUUGGCGUUAUCCCCACGUCUGCUUAUUGUACUGUAUCUUGAUUUAUUGCCCUUGGACAUUAUUGUUUCCAGCUUCCCAGAUGCGACCUUAGAUCACUUACAUUAACCCUCACAUCACCCUCCUAAGUUUUGAUAGUAAAUAUCACCAUUUAGAAUUCUUUUAUUGGUUACAUUUGAAACUCUAUCUUAAAAACUCUAAUUCUUAGUCCAUUAAGUAAAAGUUUAUACAAGUAAAAUUAAGCUUAUAUAAUGUGUUUCCUUUUUAACACAUCUCUUUCAACUCUCAAUUAUCUCAGAUAUUCUUAAUGAAAUGUUAGGCAAGGAGAACAUAUAAACUUGUAAGUCCUGAUAUUCUCUAAAACUCACUUGUUUUUCUGCACUUUCCCUCCUGAGGAGUUAAAUGGGCCCCUGUAUUGCCUACCAGGCAAUUCCUACCACACCAGUAUCUUCCGUGUCCUGAAUGGUGGGUGGCAUGAAUUUGUGUGAUUUCUCCUAAUGUUGUAAAUACUGCUUUACUGUUUCUUUAGGAAGAAGUUCCAAGGGCCCUUCUUUUUCCACCAACCUUUACUCCCUGGGCCAGGAAUCUGCUCUGGUGACUCCAACCACUGAGAAUAUUUGUUCAGUGUUCCAUGGUGCCUGCUAUAGCGUAGACUGCUCAAAACUCCAGCCUCCCUAUCACCUGCCCUCCAUAAAACCUCUCUUGAAUAGUGGACCACAAUGACUUUCUGAUUCUCCAGUAAAGAACACUGGCUCAGAACCAGUGUCCAGUAAUCCCCCAGAAUAUUCCCUUUACUGCACAGCAGCCUUAAUGAGCAGCCUCAGACCCUUUGGGGAAGGCUGGCUGAAUGGAGAUUCACAGCACACCUCAACAUUACUGCAGGAGCUUUCCUUAAUAGUACUUAGUUUCUACUUUUUUCAAGUGGUACUAUUACAUGAUUCUGGUCUAGAAACUGAGCCAGGUGCUCCAUCAUGAUGAUGAGGCUUAGAGCCUUUUGGUUAUAGUAAUGCAGCAACACCUUAGAGAUGGUACUAGGACCCCACCACUCAAAUUCUCUGUAGGAAAACCCAUCUGAUUAUCAUACCAGCCCUGCUACUUAAUGUGGUGACCAGGGCCAACUGGCUUGUGCUGGCUAGUUGCCACUACUUGGCUUGGGCCACCAAAAUGUCAUUCUAGCUCCAAUGAAAUGAAAGUCCCAGUAAAACAUUCUGAAAUGCAUUCCUUUCUUCUAUCAAUACCUUCCUUAAGGGGCUGGGUUCCAUGUCUUCUCCAGGAACAUGCAGCUUUGUGAGUGGUUCUCCUGUGACAGAUCCACUCCAGCUCUUCCAUUUCCUAGAUACUGGGUUUUCUUACAUUAUCUUACUGGGGUUCAGAGUGGUCAGCUGUCAAGUGCAGCUUCUUCGAUCAGUUAGGCAAACAAUUAAAACCACUCUCAGCCACUCAAACCAAGCUGAACCCAUACUGACAGAUUCAACUACCUCUGAAAUUAGACUCUUGGCUGAUCACCAACAUAAUCCAUUCCACACAUAGUCCUACAGAAUCCUCCAAAUUCUAACAAAUACAUACAUUUCAAUAGUGUGGAUCCUAUCUACUAAAUUUCCUUACCUUCACAUAAGAAAGCUUGGUGAAUCUGCAAAUUCCACUGAUAUAUCUGGCAACCUGCAGGAUCCCUGGGUUACCAGUUAGCAGUCCCUGAGGUUUUCAUGUCUUCAUUGUGCUCUACAGCAGCUGUAAAUAGUUUCCCAAUGUCUUAUCCUCACUGGACACUUCAUUCCACAAGGCCAUAGAAAGUACCAUAAUUAGCUGUCUCACCAUAAGCUACCAGAUUCCCAUCCAGUUAGAUGCUGCUACAAUCCUGUUUUCAAUGUCCUACCAUCUUUGUGGUGCUAAAGACUGAAGGACCCCUGAGAAGCCAAGGCUAGUCAAGGGCCCAUGUGAUGUCUGCCACCUAAUGAAAAAAGUAGGAUCUCUCCUCUUUGGUUCCUGUGUUGGGAGACCAGGGACACUCCCCAAACCAGGUGUGCAACCCAGAAGAACAGCAUGUCCUUUCUUUCCAUCUCUCUUCUUAAAACCUUUUCUAUUAUAAGUUUCCAGAGGAGAUAAAUUCUUGUGAUCAGCUGUCAAGCUAACUGUAAUUCUUCCUUAAAAACUUUUUUUGGGAAAUUAAAAUAUUUAAAGAUAAAAAUAAAAAAAUUAAAUGAGUACCCAUAUUUUUAUCACACAGAUUUAGCCACUGUUAACUUUUUUGUAUCUUUUUUUUUUUGGGGGGGGGGGGCCGCACCCAAGGCAUAUGGGAGUUCCCAGGCUAGGGGUUGAAUUGGAGCUAUAGCUGCCGGCCUACUCCACAGCCACAGCAAUGCCAGAUCCUUAACCUACUGAAUGGGGCCAGGGAUUGAACUGGCAUCCUCAUGGAUACUCAUCGGGUUCAUUAUCACUGAGCCACAACAGGAACUCCACAGCCACCAUUAAUUUUUUUUUUUUUUUUUUUGUCUUUUGCUUUUUUAGGCCCGCACCUGAGGCACAUGGAGAUUCC
RNAcentral lists this long non-coding RNA (3301 nucleotides) under Sus scrofa (pig). RNAcentral's name for it is "lncRNA (ENSSSCG00000063419.1)". Lineage: Eukaryota; Metazoa; Chordata; Mammalia; Artiodactyla; Suidae. The record is from RNAcentral.